UUUCUCUCUUCCAUAAAAGAAUAAGAGAAUGGGAUCUGUCUCUGUAUGUCUCUCCGGCACUCUGAUUGCCAGGUGAGUAAGUCACCCUGUUAAAUAGAACAUCUGUUUGCCACGUGUCAGCUGUGAAAACAACAGCUGGCUAAAUCCUAAAAACAAAAAAGCAAAGGACCCAAUGAGAAUUGCACACAUGAGAUAGAAUAGUCACAUUUUAAAAACUAGGUCAACCUGUCCAUAUAUUCAUACGCAUUAUGCCGAUAGUGACAGAUUAAAGGAAAAUGUUCAUGCCUUAUACACAUUUUUAAUACAUUUUCCCUUUAGAGCAGAGAUGUCAAACUCAUAUUACAUCAUGGGCCACAUAAGCCCAAUUUGAUCUUAAGUGGGCCUUUAUGUCAGUGUAAAUAAGUUUAACUGCACAUUUAAGCCCUGAGACAUCUUAAUAUAAGAAAAGAAGUGCAGUUUCAACAGAUAAAGGAAUCUUGCUCUAAUAAAUUAAAUAAGUCUUUCGGCACAACUCUUUGGGCACAAAAUAUAAGAAAUGAAUGUGUAAAAUUACAGAAGUUUUGUUGGCUUGUUGCCCAGACUGACCUGCAAUUAUAAAAUAAAUAUUUUAAAAGUUAUUCCUGUUAAUACACAGAAAAUGUCCUAUUUGUUUCCGCUGUGGAUUGAUUAAAAAAAUCUAUAGUAGAUAUUGAAAAAAAAAAAAAAAACAGGAGCUUUUCUGUCAUUUAUUAAUUAAUCUAUUACUUUAUUACUUUGGCUCAGUAUGAAAAGCCACUGGGGAGGACUUUGUCAGUAAGAAAAUCUGUAAAUGUUGUGAAAAAUCCGCUAAAAGUGCAAAAUUUAUGAUCUCCUUCACAUUUUCAUAUUCUUUAAGAGGCCAGCGCUGUGCAGCCUGACUCGUAUUCAUUAGAUAACACCUGAGUGGUGCCCUGUUCUCUUCACAGAUAAUUCAUGCUUUGGUACUCAGUAUAAUUUAACCGCACCCUUUAAUGUAAUAGGUACUUUAGAAAGAAAUCAUUCUGACUCAGACACAAAGUUGCUUCUGACUUGUUCCCUAAUCUCUUAUCUACACGUUUUCCCUGAUGUUCAUGAUAUAAGUAUCCUGUAUAACUCAAAAAGACUGUUAUCUAAAAAAUUACUUCAUACUUUUGACAGCAAAGUUAGGACGAUUAUAAUGUGACAAAAAUAAAAAAAAGUUAUCCACAAAAAGAAGAGUACUCUCCUAUAUGGCACGUUAUUAACCAAACAACAGAAUAGCGGUGAGAGAACUUAAUAGAUCUGGAUUUGGCUUCGGAGUUCUCCGAAAAGACACACAUCAUUGUACAGUUCUCGUAACUGACUCUAGAUUUCUCAAACGUGGUUUGAUUUGGUGUGUACUGGUUGCUGUGUUGCCAAAAUGCUAAAACCCACAUUUAGUUUCAUGUUCAUUUUAAUGCCUGAAGCUGGAAUCAGACAUUGACUUUGUUUAAACAAAAAAAAUUGACCUACAAUAACUGCAUGUGGGUGUAGAGUAGACCUAAAAAAAAUUAGAUUUUUCUUUGGAGGAACAUUG
Astatotilapia calliptera (eastern happy) is the source of this 1552-nucleotide long non-coding RNA. Lineage: Eukaryota; Metazoa; Chordata; Actinopteri; Cichliformes; Cichlidae. The record is from Ensembl.